This 446-nucleotide ribosomal RNA is filed under the name uncultured bacterium. Its description in RNAcentral is "bacterial SSU rRNA". It matches the Rfam family "Bacterial small subunit ribosomal RNA", at positions 355 to 822 of the family's 1533-position model. The record is from RNAcentral.
UGGGGAAUAUUGCGCAAUGGGGGAAACCCUGACGCAGCGACGCCGCGUGUGGGAUGAAGGUCUUCGGAUUGUAAACCACUGUCGCGAGGGACGAAGCUCUGACGGUACCUCGAAAGGAAGCACCGGCUAACUCUGUGCCAGCAGCCGCGGUAAUACAGAGGGUGCGAGCGUUGUCCGGAAUCACUGGGCGUAAAGGGCGCGUAGGCGGCCCGGUAAGUAGGGGGUGAAAUCUCAUGGCUCAACUGUGAGGCUGCCUUCUAGACUGCCAGGCUUGAGCACAGUAGAGGCGAGUGGAAUUCCCGGUGUAGCGGUGGAAUGCGUAGAGAUCGGGAAGAACAUCGGUGGCGAAGGCGGCUCGCUGGGCUGUUGCUGACGCUCAUGCACGAAAGCGUGGGGAGCAAACAGGAUUAGAUACCCGCGUAGUCCCUGAGCGGGCUGGCAAGGCG